Molecule: long non-coding RNA, 330 nt
Filed under: Sorghum bicolor (sorghum)
Lineage: Eukaryota; Viridiplantae; Streptophyta; Magnoliopsida; Poales; Poaceae
Description: long non-coding RNA (SBIC_LNC003149)
Source: RNAcentral
CUACCAGGAUGGAUAGACAACUUGGAUGAAUGAGCCUCAGAUAAGAUCUGAUUUCACAGCUCGCGGUCUUUUGGGACCACAAAUCGAUCCUUGAACCAAAGGAUUCCGUUUUCAUCGACCCGAAAGUGUUUGGUUUCUUCUUCUUUCAUUUUCCUUUUUACAUGGUGGAUGCCUACAUCUGUUUCGGAGCUGACCUAUUAUAAAGUCGUUGUACGCGCGAGCCAUGGAUGAUGAUUGCCUGGUGGACGGAGACGGAGCUGGUGCGACGUACGGUAGGUGUAGUGGAUAUAUGACGGCAAGAAGUCAAGUACACAUAAUGCCUAUCCACCG